AGCAGUCGCCACGGGAAUACGUAGGGUGCGAGCGUUAAUCGGAAUUACUGGGCGUAAAGCGUGCGCAGGCGGUUUUGUAAGACAGGCGUGAAAUCCCCGGGCUCAACCUGGGAAUGGCGCUUGUGACUGCAAAGCCAGAGUGCGGCAGAGGGGGAUGGAAUUCCGCGUGUAGCAGUGAAAUGCGUAGAUAUGCGGAGGAACACCGAUGGCGAAGGCAAUCCCCUGGGCCUGCACUGACGCUCAUGCACGAAGGCGUGGGGAGCAAACGGGAUUAGAUACCCCGGUAGUCCCUGUCUCUUAUAC
Molecule: ribosomal RNA, 303 nt
Filed under: uncultured bacterium
Lineage: Bacteria
Description: partial 16S ribosomal RNA
Rfam family: Bacterial small subunit ribosomal RNA
Source: RNAcentral